This 507-nucleotide ribosomal RNA is filed under the name uncultured bacterium. Its description in RNAcentral is "bacterial SSU rRNA". It matches the Rfam family "Bacterial small subunit ribosomal RNA", at positions 29 to 521 of the family's 1533-position model. The record is from RNAcentral.
AUUGAACGCUGGCGGAAUGCUUUACACAUGCAAGUCGAGCGGCAGCACGGGGGCAACCCUGGUGGCGAGCGGCGAACGGGUGAGUAACACAUCGGAACGUACCCUGUCGUGGGGGAUAACGAGUCGAAAGAUUCGCUAAUACCGCAUACGACCCGAGGGUGAAAGCGGGGGAUCGCAAGACCUCGCGCGACUGGAGCGGCCGAUGGCGGAUUAGCUAGUUGGUGGGGUAAAGGCCCACCAAGGCGACGAUCCGUAGCGGGUCUGAGAGGACGGCCCGCCACACUGGGACUGAGACACGGCCCAGACUCCUACGGGAGGCAGCAGUGGGGAAUUUUGGACAAUGGGGGGCAACCCUGAUCCAGCCAUUCCGCGUGAGUGAAGAAGGCCUUCGGGUUGUAAAGGACUCUUUCGGUCAGGAACGAAAAGGGACUCUCUCUAACAUAGGGGGUCGAAUGACGGUACCUGAAGAAGAAGCACCGGCGUAACUACGUAGCCAGCAGCCGCGGU